This is a long non-coding RNA of Asparagus officinalis (garden asparagus), 699 nucleotides long. RefSeq lists it as uncharacterized. The record is from RefSeq and is a predicted model, not a curated record. The transcript has 4 exons. Lineage: Eukaryota; Viridiplantae; Streptophyta; Magnoliopsida; Asparagales; Asparagaceae.
UGCCGGCUCCCUCCUCAUCUCCGCCUUCCUCCGAGGCGGCGACCGCUCCCUCCUAUCCUCGUUCUUACCAGCGGUGACCGGACCCAACUCCGAUGGCCUCACAUCCACCGUCCUCCACUACGCCACAUCAUCGAUCACCCCCAGCCGUCCCGUUCAGAGAUCAACCUAUCAGCAUCCGCCGCCAAAAUAAAAAAGGUGCCUUUUUUGCCCCUAAAAACUUCUCUUUGGUUCUGUCCUUAAAGUGGGAGAAGAGGCGGAGUAGGAUAAUAGAAUGCUGUCCUCGAGUACAUCGAGUUGAAGGAGAAGCUAUUGAAGAGCUGGAGGAAUUCUCCAGAAGCCGUGGUCUCAAAACAUCAAGCUUUUCUUGAGGAGUGUGAUAUACAUGGUCGCAUAUAUGUGAAUGAGCAGGGGAUUAAUGCUCAGCUUCAGAUAUUACUGAAGGAAAUAGGAGAUGUGCAUGGAGGGAACAAGGUGUGUGAAAACAAGAAGAGUUGCUCACUUUGUGGAACAACUGCUUUCGUCACUGGAGGAAACAAAGGAAUUGGGAUCAAGGAGGAAGAAACAUGAUGCUUCAAUAAUUUGGAAAAAUAAAUGCAAUUGGAUUCUAUAAAUUAUGCAAAGUUCAUCAAGUUAUGUAAACAAUUGUAUUCUUUAUAAUCUAUGUAAAAAAUUUAUGUAUCUUUCUAGUAUUUUGGUGAA